CACACAUAUAUAUAUAUAUAUUAUUUUGAGAAGGAAUCUCGCUCUGUCACCUAGGUUAGAGUGCAGUGGUGCAAUCAUAGCUCACUGCAGCUGGGACUGCAGACACAUGCCACUACUCGGCUAAUUUUUAUAUUUUUUUUUUGUAGAGACAGGGUCUCACUAUGUUGCCCAGGCUGGUCUGAAACUCCUGAGCUCAAGCGAUCAGCCCGCCUUGACCUCCUGAAGUGCUGGGAUUACAGGCGUGAGCCCCUGCGCCCGGCCUAGAUCUUCUGAUUUCUAAAAAGAAGCUGGCAGUAUUUUUAGCUCGGAGCAGUUUGAUCGUCUGAAGCCUUCUCUCAACUCGUCAAAGUCAUUCUCCAUCCAGCUUUGUUCCAUUGCUGGUGAGGAACUGCAUUCCUUUGGAGGAGGAGAGGAGGUCAUAUAGUUGGAAUCAUACAGUAUGCAGCCUUUUCAGAUUUUCAGGCAAAACCGUGGAGACAACAAAAAGAUACAAGAAGAUUUUAGAGAUGGGAUUUCACCAUGUUGCCAAGCCUGUCUUGAACUCCUGGCCUCAAGCAAUCUACCCUCCUCAGCCUCCAAAGUGCUGGGGUUACAGGUGUGAGCCCCUAUGCCUGGCCUUACUGUAGCUACAUCUAAGUCUCACUGUGUCACCCAGGUUGGAGUGCAGUCACGUGAUCUUGGGUCAUUAUAACCUCCGGCUCCUGGGUCCAAAUGAUUCUCAUGCCUCAGCCUCCAGAGUAGCUGGGAUUACAGGCACCCGCUACCACA
This is a long non-coding RNA of Symphalangus syndactylus (siamang), 768 nucleotides long. RefSeq lists it as uncharacterized. Lineage: Eukaryota; Metazoa; Chordata; Mammalia; Primates; Hylobatidae. The record is from RefSeq and is a predicted model, not a curated record.